Long non-coding RNA from Oncorhynchus keta (chum salmon), 1246 nucleotides. RefSeq lists it as uncharacterized. The record is from RefSeq and is a predicted model, not a curated record. The transcript is spliced from 3 exons. NCBI's taxonomy places the organism in Eukaryota, Metazoa, Chordata, Actinopteri, Salmoniformes, Salmonidae.
GACCGAAGGUCAACUUAAAUUGUUCUUUGAGAACAUGGACUGGAGAGACCGAAGGUCAACUUAAAUUGUUCUUUGAGAACAUGGACUGGAGAGACCGAAGGUCAACUUAAAUUGUUCUUUGAGAACAUGGACUGGAGAGACCGAAGGUCAACUUAAAUUGUUCUUGGAGGACAUGGACUGGAGAGACCGAAGGUCAACUUAAAUUGUUCUUUGAGGACAUGGACUGGAGAGACCGAAGGUCAACUUAAAUUGUUCUUUGAGGACAUGGACUGGAGAGACCGAAGGUCAACUUAAAUUGUUCUUUGAGGACAUGGACUGGAGAGACCGAAGGUCAACUUAAAUUGUUCUUUGAGGACAUGGACUGGAGAGACCGAAGGUCAACUUAAAUUGUUCUUUGAGGACAUGGACUGGAGAGACCGAAGGUCAACUUAAAUUGUUCUUGGAGGACAUGGACUGGAGAGACCGAAGGUCAACUUAAAUUGUUCUUUGAGGACAUGGACUGGAGAGACCGAAGGUCAACUUAAAUUGUUCUUUGAGGACAUGGACUGGAGAGACCGAAGGUCAACUUAAAUUGUUCUUUGAGGACAUGGACUGGAGAGACCGAAGGUCAACUUAAAUUGUUCUUUGAGGACAUGGACUGGAGAGACCGAAGGUCAACUUAAAUUGUUCUUUGAGGACAUGGACUGGAGAGACCGAAGGUCAACUUAAAUUGUUCUUGGAGGACAUGGACUGGAGAGACCGAAGGUCAACUUAAAUUGUUCUUUGAGGACAUGGACUGGAGAGACCGAAGGUCAACUUAAAUUGUUCUUUGAGGACAUGGACUGGAGAGACCGAAGGUCAACUUAAAUUGUUCUUGGAGGACAUGGACUGGAGUGACCGAAGGUCAACUUAAAUUGUCUUGGGGGGGCCUCCCGGGUGGUGCAGUGGUAGAGGUGGUCAGAAAGAGGUCAGAGGUGAGACAGGUCUUCCUGUGCAAUAGGGUUAGCGUUAAGGCUAGAGUGACCAAAUGUCAACUUAAAUUAUUUUAUUAUAUUUGAUUGAGUACCAUGCAUGCAAGCCUAGGUCCCCAGUGUCCCCCAGCGGGGUUGGGAUCAACACUUUAGCCCCGACAAUGACAGUUCAGCAGCAGAGAAAUACAGGUUUUCUGAUUCAUGAUGUAUGGAUAAACCAUGCACUCCAGAGGGCUUUGACCAAACACAAGAGUCCUAAAUCUGGCCUGUUAUGACACAUGCCGCAAAGGUGUGUC